GAAACUGAAGGGGAAGUUUCGCAUGAAAUUUAAAUUUUAUAGUCGUAUAAAAGCUGACGGUGUCCAGUAAAAAGCUAACCAGUCCAGUAGUUACCGAGGACAGCCGCUGGUUCACUGUUUGAAAAUGAGGGUGUCUGUUAUAAGCGCGCUCACAGUAGGUUUGGUUCUGGCUCUGGCUGUUCUCAUCCAUGGCGAUGGUUACGGUGCCAGCUACGGGCCGAGUUACGGGGUCUCAUACGUACCUUACUACAGCUACGGUGGUGGUGAUGGAUACAACACGUGGAUUCUGGGCUUUAUCGGCAUCCUGUUUAUCUUGGUGAUCUUGUUCAGUCAGAUCAACAACGAUAAUGACACGAGCAGAAUUAUAACUAUUGACUAACCGGAAGUCGCAACUCCGCGUGGCAGUUUUGCGGAUCCUACGUGACCCACGUAAUACAGAAUCACGAAAGUACAAAACUAAAACAUCAUUAUAUAUGCAUACAAAUAUGAUCUUGU
Molecule: long non-coding RNA, 495 nt
Organism: Mercenaria mercenaria
Lineage: Eukaryota; Metazoa; Mollusca; Bivalvia; Venerida; Veneridae
Exons: 4
Source: RefSeq, a predicted model, not a curated record